GGUUGUGAGGGUGAUCUGGCUGUGACAUCUGUCACCCCGUUGAUUGCCAGGGUUGAUCUGGCUGGCUAGGCGGGUGUCCCCUUCCUCCCUCACCGCUCUAUGUGCGUCCCUCCCGAAGCUGCGUGCUCGGUGGAAGAGGAAGAUCUUCCCCGAUAGAGGAGAGGACUGUUCUUCGGUCAAGGGUAUACAAGUAGCUGCGCUCCCCUUCUAUAACCUCCUCUGCUAUAACAAGCUCUUAAGGUCCAUUUGUAGGAGAACAUCAGGUAGUCAAUCUUCCAAGACUCCAGACACAUCCAAAAUGAGGUGCUGCACAUGGCAGUCUGCCUUUCUUU
This 332-nucleotide small nuclear RNA is filed under the name Neogale vison (American mink). RNAcentral describes it as "Neovison vison (American mink) 7SK RNA (ENSNVIG00000014963.1)". It matches the Rfam family "7SK RNA". Rfam says of the family: 7SK was discovered as an abundant small nuclear RNA in the mid-70s but a possible function has only recently been suggested. Two independent studies have found that 7SK RNA binds the CDK9/cyclin T complex (known as elongation factor P-TEFb). Lineage: Eukaryota; Metazoa; Chordata; Mammalia; Carnivora; Mustelidae. The record is from Rfam by way of RNAcentral.